Non-coding RNA from Potamilus streckersoni, 74 nucleotides. The record is from the annotation of a GenBank genome assembly. Lineage: Eukaryota; Metazoa; Mollusca; Bivalvia; Unionida; Unionidae.
GACUCUGGUGGCCUAGUGGUUAGAGCGUUCGCCUUAGAUGCAGGUGGUGGUGAGUUCGAACCCCGGCAGAGUCA